Molecule: long non-coding RNA, 212 nt
Filed under: Vitis vinifera (wine grape)
Lineage: Eukaryota; Viridiplantae; Streptophyta; Magnoliopsida; Vitales; Vitaceae
Description: long non-coding RNA (VVIN_LNC006884)
Source: RNAcentral
CAAAUCAACAAAUAAUACCAACACAUAACAGAGAUAAUGAAAAUUGCGAUAUAGCAGACAAAAGGGAAUACGAAGUAAACUUAGAUAAGAAAUACUUCCUCAUAAACUUCUCUUGCUUCCGAGAAACCUGAAAAAUCCAGUGAUAUGCUUAGAAAUGCUUGCCAAAGAAGCCGAGAUCACAUGAAAAGACCAGAAAUGGAAAUUACACUAUU